RNAcentral lists this non-coding RNA (29 nucleotides) under Cricetulus griseus (Chinese hamster). The record is from RNAcentral. Lineage: Eukaryota; Metazoa; Chordata; Mammalia; Rodentia; Cricetidae.
AAGGAUAGAUGUUAGGCUAAACAUAGGAG